AUUGAACGCUGGCGGCAGGCCUAACACAUGCAAGUCGAGCGGAUGAAGGGAGCUUGCUCCUGGAUUCAGCGGCGGACGGGUGAGUAAUGCCUAGGAAUCUGCCUGGUAGUGGGGGAUAACGUCCGGAAACGGGCGCUAAUACCGCAUACGUCCUGAGGGAGAAAGUGGGGGAUCUUCGGACCUCACGCUAUCAGAUGAGCCUAGGUCGGAUUAGCUAGUUGGUGGGGUAAAGGCCUACCAAGGCGACGAUCCGUAACUGGUCUGAGAGGAUGAUCAGUCACACGGGAGGUGAGACAGGGUCAAGAGUCCUACGAGAGGCAGCAGUGGGGAAUAUUGGACAACAGGCGAAAGCCUGAUCCAGCCAGGGCGCGUGUGUGAAGAAGGUCUUCGGAUUGUAAAGCACUUUAAGUUGGGAGGAAGGGCAGUAAGUUAAUACCUUGCUGUUUUGACGUUACCAACAGAAGAAGCACCGGCUAACUACGUG
This 484-nucleotide ribosomal RNA is filed under the name uncultured bacterium. Its description in RNAcentral is "partial 16S ribosomal RNA". It matches the Rfam family "Bacterial small subunit ribosomal RNA", at positions 30 to 507 of the family's 1533-position model. The record is from RNAcentral.